GUCGGUAAGAGACGCUAUUACUCACAGAUUUCCGAAUGGGGAAACCCACCCAAGAUAACUUGGGUAUCUGUUACUGAAUACAUAGGUAACAGAGGCGAACCGGGAGAACUGAAACAUCUAAGUACCCCGAGGAAAAGAAAUCAACCGAGAUUCCCUCAGUAGCGGCGAGCGAACGGGGAUUAGCCCUUAAGCAUCUUGGAAGUUAGUGGAACGGUCCUGGAAAGGCCGGCGAUACAGGGUGAUAGCCCCGUACACGAAAACAACCUUGAUGUGAAAUCGAGUAGGGCGGGACACGUGACAUCCUGUCUGAAUAUGGGGGGACCAUCCUCCAAGGCUAAAUACUCCUGACUGACCGAUAGUGAACCAGUACCGUGAGGGAAAGGCGAAAAGAACCCCUGUGAGGGGAGUGAAAUAGAACCUGAAACCGUGUACGUACAAGCAGUGGGAGCCCUUCGGGGUGACUGCGUACCUUUUGUAUAAUGGGUCAGCGACUUACAUUUUGUAGCGAGGUUAACCGUAUAGGGGAGCCGUAGGGAAACCGAGUCUUAACUGGGCGUCUAGUUGCAAGGUGUAGACCCGAAACCGGGUGAUCUAGCCAUGGGCAGGUUGAAGGUUGAGUAACAUCAACUGGAGGACCGAACCCACUAACGUUGCAAAGUUAGGGGAUGACCUGUGGCUGGGGGUGAAAGGCCAAUCAAACUCGGAGAUAGCUGGUUCUCCCCGAAAGCUAUUUAGGUAGCGCCUCGGACGAAUACUACUGGGGGUAGAGCACUGUUUGGGCUAGGGGGUCAUCCCGACUUACCAACCCCAUGCAAACUCCGAAUACCAGUAAGUAAUAUCCGGGAGACACACGGCGGGUGCUAACGUCCGUCGUGAAGAGGGAAACAACCCAGACCGCCGGCUAAGGUCCCAAAGUUCUGGUUAAGUGGGAAACGAUGUGGGAAGGCUCAGACAGCUAGGAUGUUGGCUUAGAAGCAGCCAUCAUUUAAAGAAAGCGUAAUAGCUCACUAGUCGAGUCGGCCUGCGCGGAAGAUGUAACGGGGCUCAAACCAGGCACCGAAGCCGCGGAUUCACACUUAUGUGUGAGUGGUAGGGGAGCGUUCUGUAAGUCUGCGAAGGUGUAUCGAGAGGUAUGCUGGAGAUAUCAGAAGUGCGAAUGCUGACGUAAGUAACGAUAAAGGGGGUGAAAAGCCUCCUCGCCGGAAGACCAAGGGUUCCUGUCCAACGUUAAUCGGGGCAGGGUGAGUCGACCCCUAAGGUGAGGCCGAAAGGCGUAAUCGAUGGGAAGCAGGUUAAUAUUCCUGCACGACUUGUAAUUGCGAUGGGGGGACGGAGAAGGCUAGGUGGGCCAGGCGACGGUUGUCCUGGUGAAAGUGCGUAGGUGGUGUUUCUAGGCAAAUCCGGAGACACAACACUGAGACACGAGACGAACACACUACGGUGUGGAAGCCAUUGAUGCCCUGCUUCCAGGAAAAGCCUCUAAGCUUCAGAUUACAAGUCAUCGUACCCCAAACCGACACAGGUGGUCGGGUAGAGAAUACCAAGGCGCUUGAGAGAACUCGGGUGAAGGAACUAGGCAAAAU
Molecule: ribosomal RNA, 1583 nt
Filed under: Mesorhizobium sp.
Lineage: Bacteria; Pseudomonadati; Pseudomonadota; Alphaproteobacteria; Hyphomicrobiales; Phyllobacteriaceae
Description: partial 23S ribosomal RNA
Rfam family: Bacterial large subunit ribosomal RNA
Source: RNAcentral